UUGAAUUGAAUUUGAAAUAAAAUUAAAGAAAAAAAAACAAAAAUAAAACAAAGCUGAGGGCCAAAAUACGACACGCGGAUAACAUGAGGGCCAAAUGGGAAAUAUUCCCUUCCCUCAAAACGCAGCGCCUUGACAUGGACCAAAUUGGAACACAUUUCCAAUGUGGAGGGACCAGAGGGACAAAUAACCCAUUUAACAAAAAACGCGCGGAUCCUCCAUGGAGCAGGUCGGGUUGCGCGUGGGUCAUUGGGUUUGAAUGAUACGACACCGUUUUGACACCAUUGUAAUAAGGCUCAAACGGUGUCGUUUCAUGUUUUAUAAACUAAAAAAAAUGAAUAAAUACAUAAACCUAAAAAACCCUAAAACAUUUGAUUCAUCAUUUCCCUUUUAUAGAGAAACCCAGGUACUGCGCCGUUCUUGCGUCUACGACCUCCACCCAGGCUCCGAUUGCGACGGAGAGGGUCAGAGAUCCGACGGCUUCCAACGACAAGGUACGACUCCUUCAUUUUCUCCCUUUUUUGUUGUUUCGCUUAUAGAGAAAAAAAACAGAAAAUUAAAAGAAACAGAGAAAGGAAAAGAAAAACAAAGAAAGAAAAUAAAACUGCCAAUCACCUCUCAAAUCUUUUUUUGAUUUCUCUGCCUCUGAAUAUUUUUUUUCUUGUAUUCAAUUUGUGAAAAAAAAGGAUCCGUUUACAGUGCUUGUAUUGCCUUUUUUUAGCCGAAUGAGAAAAAUAAUAAUAUUUCUUUUUUGCUAUUUCUCUUUUUCUACAUUUUUCCUAUAUUUUUUUGCUAGUAUUUCCUGUCGAUUUCUGCUAUUCUUUGUGUCCGUCUUUUGUUGCUUUGUGUGUUGCAGGCGUACGGAGGCCGUACGGUGACGCGUGUGAGGAGUGGCUCGAAGGUGUGGUGGCGCACGCAUGAGAGGGGAGCGUACUGGUUGCGGCGCUGGUGCUAGGGUUUCUGAUCCUCUUUGGGGUGUUAGGCCGUAUGAUUGUUGGGCUGGGUGUAGUUGGGCUAGGUGAAUUGGGUUAGAUUUUGGGUUUGAAAUUUUUGGUUAUUGGGCUAGGUGCAAUUGGGCCAUUCGGGUUUAGCAUUCUGGGCAUAUGCAUUUGGGCCUACUUGGAUUUAGGCCUGCUAAUGUAAAGAACUGGACUAUGUUAUUGGUUUUUUUUGUUG
This 1173-nucleotide long non-coding RNA is filed under the name Gossypium barbadense (sea-island cotton). Its description in RNAcentral is "long non-coding RNA (GBAR_LNC016972)". The record is from RNAcentral. Lineage: Eukaryota; Viridiplantae; Streptophyta; Magnoliopsida; Malvales; Malvaceae.